This 497-nucleotide ribosomal RNA is filed under the name uncultured bacterium. RNAcentral's name for it is "bacterial SSU rRNA". It matches the Rfam family "Bacterial small subunit ribosomal RNA", at positions 66 to 543 of the family's 1533-position model. The record is from RNAcentral.
ACGCGAAGCCCCCUUCGGGGGGCAAGUAGAGUGGCGCACGGGUGAGUAACACGUAGGUAAUCUACCUUUGGAUGGGGAAUAACCACCGGAAACGGUGGCUAAUACCGCAUAAUGCAGCGGCACCUAAUGGUGACAGUUGUUAAAGCGGGGGAUCGCAAGACCUCGCGUCUGAAGAGGAGCCUGCGGCAGAUUAGCUAGUUGGUAAGGUAACGGCUUACCAAGGCGAUGAUCUGUAGCCGGCCUGAGAGGGCGGUCGGCCACACUGACACUGACAUACGGGUCAGACUCCUACGGGAGGCAGCAGUCGGGAAUUUUGGGCAAUGGGCGAAAGCCUGACCCAGCAACGCCGCGUGAAGGAUGAAAUCCCUCGGGAUGUAAACUUCGCAAGAACGGGAAGAAUAAGUAAGGGUUAAUAUCUCGUACGAUGACGGUACCGUUUGUAAGCUCCGGCUAACUCCGUGCCAGCAGCCGCGGUAAUACGGGGGGAGCAAGCGUUG